RNAcentral lists this ribosomal RNA (555 nucleotides) under Hanseniaspora uvarum. Its description in RNAcentral is "partial large subunit ribosomal RNA". It matches the Rfam family "Eukaryotic large subunit ribosomal RNA", at positions 88 to 657 of the family's 3401-position model. The record is from RNAcentral. Lineage: Eukaryota; Fungi; Ascomycota; Saccharomycetes; Saccharomycodales; Saccharomycodaceae.
GGCGAGUGAAGCGGUAAAAGCUCAAAUUUGAAAUCUGGUACUUUCAGUGCCCGAGUUGUAAUUUGUAGAAUUUGUCUUUGAUUAGGUCCUUGUCUAUGUUCCUUGGAACAGGACGUCAUAGAGGGUGAGAAUCCCGUUUGGCGAGGAUACCUUUUCUCUGUAAGACUUUUUCGAAGAGUCGAGUUGUUUGGGAAUGCAGCUCAAAGUGGGUGGUAAAUUCCAUCUAAAGCUAAAUAUUGGCGAGAGACCGAUAGCGAACAAGUACAGUGAUGGAAAGAUGAAAAGAACUUUGAAAAGAGAGUGAAAAAGUACGUGAAAUUGUUGAAAGGGAAGGGCAUUUGAUCAGACAUGGUGUUUUUUGCAUGCACUCGCCUCUCGUGGGCUUGGGCCUCUCAAAAAUUUCACUGGGCCAACAUCAAUUCUGGCAGCAGGAUAAAUCAUUAAGAAUGUAGCUACUUCGGUAGUGUUAUAGCUUUUUGGAAUACUGUUAGCCGGGAUUGAGGACUGCGCUUCGGCAAGGAUGUUGGCAUAAUGGUUAAAUGCCGCCCGUCUUGA